This 253-nucleotide ribosomal RNA is filed under the name uncultured bacterium. RNAcentral describes it as "partial 16S ribosomal RNA". It matches the Rfam family "Bacterial small subunit ribosomal RNA", at positions 524 to 776 of the family's 1533-position model. The record is from RNAcentral.
UACGAAGGGGGCAAGCGUUGUUCGGAAUUACUGGGCAUAAAGGGUGCGUAGGCGGCAUGUUAAGUCAGGGGUGAAAUCCCACGGCCCAACCGUGGAACUGCCUUUGAUACUGGCGUGCUUGAGUGCGUGAGGGGUAACCGGAACGAGUCGUGUAGCGGUGAAAUGCGUAGAUAUGACUCGGAAGGCCAAAGGCGAAGGCAGGUUACUGGUACGCAACUGACGCUGAGGCACGAAAGCGUGGGGAGCAAACAGG